GAGUUUGAUCUUGGCUCAGAGUGAACGCUGGCGGCAGGCCUAACACAUGCAAGUCGAGCGGCAGCGCGGGGGCAACCCUGGCGGCGAGCGGCGGACGGGUGAGGAAUGCAUCGGAAUCUACCUCGUUGUGGGGGAUAACCUCGGGAAACCGGGACUAAUACCGCAUACGACCUACGGGUGAAAGUGGGGGACCGCAAGGCCUCACGCGAUGAGAUGAGCCGAUGCCGGAUUAGCUAGUUGGCGGGGUAAAGGCCCACCAAGGCGACGAUCCGUAGCUGGUCUGAGAGGAUGAUCAGCCACACUGGAACUGAGACACGGUCCAGACUCCUACGGGAGGCAGCAGUGGGGAAUAUUGGACAAUGGGCGCAAGCCUGAUCCAGCCAUGCCGCGUGUGUGAAGAAGGCCU
This 406-nucleotide ribosomal RNA is filed under the name uncultured Gammaproteobacteria bacterium. RNAcentral's name for it is "bacterial SSU rRNA". It matches the Rfam family "Bacterial small subunit ribosomal RNA", at positions 9 to 417 of the family's 1533-position model. Lineage: Bacteria; Pseudomonadati; Pseudomonadota; Gammaproteobacteria. The record is from RNAcentral.